GAUGAACGCUGGCGGCGUGCCUAAUACAUGCAAGUCGAGCGAACAGAUAAGGAGCUUGCUCCUUUGACGUUAGCGGCGGACGGGUGAGUAACACGUGGGUAACCUACCUAUAAGACUGGAAUAACUCCGGGAAACCGGGGCUAAUGCCGGAUAACAUUUAGAACCGCAUGGUUCUAAAGUGAAAGAUGGUUUUGCUAUCACUUAUAGAUGGACCCGCGCCGUAUUAGCUAGUUGGUAAGGUAACGGCUUACCAAGGCAACGAUACGUAGCCGACCUGAGAGGGUGAAUGGCCACACUGGAACUGGGACACGGUCCAGACUCCUACGGGAGGCAGCAGUAGGGAAUUUUCCGCAAUGGGCGAAAGCCUGACGGAGCAACGCCGCGUGAGUGAUGAAGGUCUUCGGAUCGUAAAACUCUGUUAUUAGGGAAGAACAAAUGUGUAAGUAACUGUGCACGUCUUGACGGUACCUAAUCAGAAAGCCACGGCUAACUACGUG
This 497-nucleotide ribosomal RNA is filed under the name uncultured bacterium. Its description in RNAcentral is "partial 16S ribosomal RNA". It matches the Rfam family "Bacterial small subunit ribosomal RNA", at positions 28 to 507 of the family's 1533-position model. The record is from RNAcentral.